UACGUAGGGGGCAAGCGUUGUCCGGAUUUAUUGGGCGUAAAGAGCGUGUAGGCGGCCUGACAGGUCAGCUGUGAAAACUCGAGGCUCAACCUCGAGACGUCGGUUGAAACCAUCUGGCUAGAGUCCGGAAGAGGAGUGUGGAAUUCCCGGUGUAGCGGUGAAAUGCGCAGAUAUCGGGAAGAACACCCGUGGCGAAGGCGGCACGCUGGGACGGUACUGACGCUGAGACGCGAAAGCGUGGGGAGCGAACAGG
Molecule: ribosomal RNA, 253 nt
Filed under: uncultured bacterium
Lineage: Bacteria
Description: partial 16S ribosomal RNA
Rfam family: Bacterial small subunit ribosomal RNA
Source: RNAcentral